UCCAUCAACAACAACAUGAUGUUUCUUCCUUUUACAGUAUACGUAUCUAUACUUCGUAUGGUAACAUGACAUCAACCAGACUAGACUAAACUUCUGGAGGGCAUGUUUACUCGGUGUGAAAACUUGUACGUGCGAAUUCUAAAGGUAGCCACCACAAGGAUAAACUACAGAAGUAGAGAAAGCAAGGAGCUAUUAUUCCACUAUCAGCAUGUACAAACUAGAAAUCAUAUACUCCCUCUGUUCCUAAAUAUAAGUCUUUUUAGAGAUUUCGAUGUGAACUAUACACGGAGCAAAAUCAGUGAAUCUAUGCUCUAAAGUACAUCUAUAUACAUUAGUAUGUAGUCUCAAUUAAAAUCUGUAAAAAAGACUUAUCUUCAGAAACGGAGGGAGUAGAUAUAUUUCAGCUAGUUUGUGAAAUAUGUAAUUUUUUUAUUGAUGAUGUGUACAAUUGAGUUUGUAAAAUACUACUGCUCUAAUUAAUACAAUGCUAUUAUUUUGCGCGAUA
Molecule: long non-coding RNA, 505 nt
Organism: Triticum dicoccoides
Lineage: Eukaryota; Viridiplantae; Streptophyta; Magnoliopsida; Poales; Poaceae
Exons: 2
Source: RefSeq, a predicted model, not a curated record